Ribosomal RNA from Pteropus vampyrus (large flying fox), 123 nucleotides. The record is from Ensembl. Lineage: Eukaryota; Metazoa; Chordata; Mammalia; Chiroptera; Pteropodidae.
ACUUGCUGCAUUACUGACUCAUGGGACAUCUCAAGAAGACAGUGUUACUCAGAAGCUAAGCAAGGUCAGGCCUGGUUAGUACUUGGAUGGGAGACCACCUAGGAAUACCAGGUGCUGUAGGUG